RNAcentral lists this ribosomal RNA (1371 nucleotides) under Rothia amarae. RNAcentral's name for it is "bacterial SSU rRNA". It matches the Rfam family "Bacterial small subunit ribosomal RNA", at positions 65 to 1442 of the family's 1533-position model. Lineage: Bacteria; Bacillati; Actinomycetota; Actinomycetes; Micrococcales; Micrococcaceae. The record is from RNAcentral.
GAUGAAGACUGGUGCUUGCACUGGUUGGAUUAGUGGCGAACGGGUGAGUAAUACGUGAGUAACCUGCCUUUGACUCUGGGAUAAGCCUGGGAAACUGGGUCUAAUACCGGAUAUGACAAGGAACCGCAUGGUUUUUUGUGGAAAGGGUUUGUACUGGUUUUAGAUGGGCUCACGGCCUAUCAGCUUGUUGGUGGGGUAAUGGCUCACCAAGGCGACGACGGGUAGCCGGCCUGAGAGGGUGACCGGCCACACUGGGACUGAGACACGGCCCAGACUCCUACGGGAGGCAGCAGUGGGGAAUAUUGCACAAUGGGCGCAAGCCUGAUGCAGCGACGCCGCGUGAGGGAUGACGGCCUUCGGGUUGUAAACCUCUUUCAGCAGGGAAGAAGCGAAAGUGACGGUACCUGCAGAAGAAGCGCCGGCUAACUACGUGCCAGCAGCCGCGGUAAUACGUAGGGCGCGAGCGUUGUCCGGAAAUUAUUGGGCGUAAAGAGCUUGUAGGCGGUUUGUUGCGUCUGCUGUGAAAGACCGGGGCUUAACCCCGGUAUUGCAGUGGGUACGGGCAGACUAGAGUGCAGUAGGGGAGACUGGAAUUCCUGGUGUAGCGGUGAAAUGCGCAGAUAUCAGGAGGAACACCGAUGGCGAAGGCAGGUCUCUGGGCUGUAACUGACGCUGAGAAGCGAAAGCAUGGGGAGCGAACAGGAUUAGAUACCCUGGUAGUCCAUGCCGUAAACGUUGGGCACUAGGUGUGGGGGACAUUCCACGUUUUCCGCGCCGUAGCUAACGCAUUAAGUGCCCCGCCUGGGGAGUACGGCCGCAAGGCUAAAACUCAAAGGAAUUGACGGGGGCCCGCACAAGCGGCGGAGCAUGCGGAUUAAUUCGAUGCAACGCGAAGAACCUUACCAAGGCUUGACAUAUACUGGACCGCCUCAGAGAUGGGGUUUCCCUUCGGGGCUGGUAUACAGGUGGUGCAUGGUUGUCGUCAGCUCGUGUCGUGAGAUGUUGGGUUAAGUCCCGCAACGAGCGCAACCCUCGUUCUAUGUUGCCAGCACGUUAUGGUGGGGACUCAUAGGAGACUGCCGGGGUCAACUCGGAGGAAGGUGGGGAUGACGUCAAAUCAUCAUGCCCCUUAUGUCUUGGGCUUCACGCAUGCUACAAUGGCCGGUACAAAGGGUUGCGAUACUGUGAGGUUGAGCUAAUCCCAAAAAGCCGGUCUCAGUUCGGAUUGGGGUCUGCAACUCGACCCCAUGAAGUCGGAGUCGCUAGUAAUCGCAGAUCAGCAACGCUGCGGUGAAUACGUUCCCGGGCCUUGUACACACCGCCCGUCAAGUCACGAAAGUUGGUAACACCCGAAGCCGAUGGCCUAACCCU